AUUACGACUUACAUCUUGCAUCGAAAAAUGACAAUAGUCGACUAUAAUUAGUGAAUUUCUUAAUCAGUGGUAUUACAUCUUACGUUGAUACAUUUGUGAAGAGUUUUGUUAUCUACGGCCAGUUGAAAGGCAUUUUAACUAUUAACCGAAGUAUUGAAAUCUUUUAUCAAAAGUCUUAACGUUAACGACAAACGAAUAAAAGAUUGUAUUAGAGUUUAAUUCGAUAUCUUCCAUUGUAUCUUCCAAUAUAAUAAUGUAAAGUUUAUUAACGAGAAGUAGAAUCAUAUAUCUAAUUAAAAAUAAACAACUAAUAGAUUUCGUUCCAUUACAAAGAUAUAUAUACAUACAUUUAUGCGUACACAUUAAAAGUAUUGCUAAUAAAAAAUCAAUAGGAUUAUAGAAAACAUUUCAUUGUAAUUUGAUGCCGAAAAUAACAAAUACCCUUCAAUAAUGUGUAAUUUUUUCUUUUUCUAUCAAGUAUUAAUAUCUUUUUAAUCAAUUUAAACAUUUUUAGUUCAUAAUGUAUCAAUAACAAUAUCAGAUAUUUAAUUUUGGCUCAUUGCAGAACAAAGGUUGCUCGUUACUGUCCAUACAAUAUAAGAAAAUCUCAAGCAAUACCCAAGAGAAAGACUACUGUAUACUUUGUGUAUGUGUGCGUGGGUGUGUAUAUUAUGUAUCUAGUUAUGUACAUAUGUAUCUAUUUACAAACGUAUGUUUAUAUGGGAUCUUCCAACAUUCCACCUUGGUGGUUGCCGAAAGACUGAUCUCAUACGAUAUUCGACAGAAAGUAAAUAACAUAAGGUGGAUUUAGAUAUUUCAGCUUAUAGAGAAACAUAUAAACAUUGUAAUAAGAUUUGCUUUGUAUACGUCAGCUAGUAAAUGGUAUAAACAUUCUCUUUUUCUUUCAGUGUAAUAAUAUUAUAUAUAUAUAUAUUAAAAUUUUU
Vespula vulgaris is the source of this 944-nucleotide long non-coding RNA. RefSeq lists it as uncharacterized. Lineage: Eukaryota; Metazoa; Arthropoda; Insecta; Hymenoptera; Vespidae. The record is from RefSeq and is a predicted model, not a curated record. The transcript is spliced from 3 exons.